CCACGUCAAUUGGUCUCCUCCAGCAGUCGUCACUCCACAUUGUCCCACCUCCUCCUUGUCUUCUCCGGGCAGCGGACGUAUAUAAACACACAGUACCAUCUUCCUCCAGCCUACCUAGUAACAUCACCAUAACCAUUACGUGGAGCUCGGAUGGGAGGGCGCACAGGCGAAGAGAUUGUGGCUGAUUUCAACAGAAAAGCCCCCACAGCCACCGAGGCUCGUCCAGCUACUCAUCCAGCGCAGCAUUAUGUCAGCAUCACCUGUUGUUCCCUCCGUCGGUGAGUCCAUCUAUAUUCUUUUUUUUUUUUUUUAAAUCAUCCAUCCCGGUUGAUCCACACGAACGCCGCAUCAUUUGCAGGACGUUAAUGUUUGUUUCUCCUCGCUCCACCUUUUCCUUGUUUUUUUGCCCCCCCUUUUCUCGGCGCAUCCGGAUUGAAAGAACAAAAAAAAGAAAAAAUACAACAAACGAUGCAAAAUCAAGUCCUAAACAAAAAGAAAAAAGAGAACAGCUGUUAGCAUAUCUAAGGGAGAUGAAAAUGACAGCGGCUUCUUCCUCCUCUUCGUGCCUUGAGGGAAAAUGUUUAUCGUGUCGUCAUGUUGCCGUGAUUUGAGGGAAGAAGAAAAAUAACAGAUAAGUGACCAGACUACACUUGAAGAUCGGGAUCAAAUGUGUCAGAUAAUCACAGGUCUUUUGGCUUUAUAACCUCCUGAGAGAAAACUUCGGUGCAGCAACAGGUGGCAUGUUUUUUUUUUCUUUUUUUUCUCCGAGCCGGAAUCGAGGCGAGAUGCUGAGGAGGAGAUGGACGUGGAAAAAAAAGAAAAAAGAAAAAAAAAGAAAGAAAAAAAAGUAGGGCGUCAUUCAGCACCGAGACACUGGACAGCUCCCACGUCGAGGGCUAAUCAUUUCCAUUUAGCUGCGAUCUGGAAGGAAUAACAGCCUCAUUUGUGGCUCUUACAGCUUUAUUCCAAUCAUGCUGACACAUCCACUGAAUAUUAUUAAAUUCAGCUGCUGUUUGGGGACUGAAUGGUUGAUUUUUCUGAGUGGCAGAUUCUUUGAAAGCCUCCAAGAGCAACAGCAAAUGGUUUGUUUUACUGUAUGAAAAUGAGUUCAGUGGACAUUAUUGAUCAUGGGUCCUCCUCUUGGUAUAAACAGAGUACUGUCUCCCUUCAGCACUCCUCUUUUCUCUAGUUUGCACUUAAGGACCCCAUCUUCCCCCUCUUCCUUCCUUCCUUCCUUCCUUCCUUGCUUGCUUCCUUCCUUCCUUCCUUCCUCUCUCUAAACUGUCCCCAUCUUCCCAUCCCCCUCUUCCACUGACUCCCAGUCUUGUUGCAUAGCUACCAGCUCAAAAAAAAAAAAAAAAAAAACAUACUGGAGAUGCAGGACAAUCUGUAUGUCUCUUUUCUCUCUCCCCCUUAGCAUAAAUGUGACUUAAUUUGCAGGAGUUAAAAAAAAAAUCAGAGUUUGAGGGCCACGUUUCCGCCUCCUCAGGGUUGUACACCGCUCAGGGUUUCUGCUCCCUGCAUAUGGUGAACAGCAUUUAAUCUAAGUGCUGUGGUGUGAUCCUCCCUCUCUCUCUCUGUGUUCCCUCCCCCCUCCUCCUCCUCCUCCUCCUCCUCCUGUCUCCCUCUUUUGAGAGGAGCUGAAAGGUUGGCAUUACAACAACAAAGGAAGGAUGGAAUGUCAACAGGCUUCAGAGAGAAAUGGGCUGAGGGAAACACCAGAGAUGGGAAUUGCAUGUAGCGUCUCCGACAUCUAAAGUUUACAACCCAUCAGCACACUACCAGCCGGUGCUCUGCAACACCUGUGACACACGCAUAUCCUCAAGUCCACGAUGGUGACGCUAUCGAAGCAGAGGAUGUGGACGCGACGUGAGAAAGUGUUGGUGGUGCUGAGUGGAAGACUAGUGAUUUUGUUGUGACGCUGAUCAAAGAACAACAAGUCCCAGUCUACCUCUCAGCACAAGCAGUGCCCUCCGGUUUACGUCAGCUUUAACCUGCACGACUCUUCGGUUCACAUUUCACUCCUGGCCUUGUUGAUGGGAAUUUUCUGGAGGUUUUUUUCAGUGGUGACAAUUUGAAACUUGCUCUGUAAAAACCACUUAAAAUGGUCUGAUUCAGUCACCAUGUGAAUGAGUGUAGCCAAACUGUUCAGCAAUGUUAAUUACUGGCAAUCAGAAGCAUCAAUUAAGCAUUCAUGGAACUGAAUCACACACAACAAAAGCUGCUCAGGGAAAUACUGCAAUAAUGCCAUAAAGUACUUUGUACGCCACAGAAUGAAAUAGCUGAGUAUUAUUGUUCAACAGGCUUGUUCUAAACUUUCCAGUUAUGCUACAUAUUCUUAAUCCAAGUGUCUAUUGUUUAUCAAUUAUCCUCAAUUGGAACAAACAGUAUUUAAAGUCCUUUAUUUUGGUAAAAUAAAACCUGACUGUAAACCUCU
Long non-coding RNA from Amphiprion ocellaris (clown anemonefish), 2437 nucleotides. RefSeq lists it as uncharacterized. The transcript is spliced from 2 exons. The record is from RefSeq and is a predicted model, not a curated record. NCBI's taxonomy places the organism in Eukaryota, Metazoa, Chordata, Actinopteri, Pomacentridae.